Panaeolus papilionaceus is the source of this 103-nucleotide non-coding RNA. Lineage: Eukaryota; Fungi; Basidiomycota; Agaricomycetes; Agaricales. The record is from the annotation of a GenBank genome assembly.
GCUUCCUUGGCUCAGUUGGCUAGAGCGCAGGUCUCAUACGACGAGUAUGAGUAACUUCGGUUACGUAAUCCUGAGGUCGCAAGUUCGAGCCUUGCAGGGAGCA